CCCUUAGAUGUUCUGGGCUGCACGCGCGCUACACUGGUGCGUUCAGCGAGUUUAGCACCUUAACAGAUAUGUUUGGGUAAUCUUCUGAAAACGCACCGUGAUGGGGAUCGAUUAUUGUAAUUAUUAAUCGUCAACGAGGAAUUCCUAGUAAGUGUGAAUCAUCAGUUCGCGCUGAUUACGUCCCUGCCCUUUGUACACACCGCCCGUCGCUGCUACCGAUUGAGUGGUCCGGUGAAUUAUUCGGACCGGUGGACUGUGGGGUAACUCGCGGUCUGCUGGGAAGUCUUGUGAACCUUAUCACUUAGAGGAAGUAGAAGUCGUAACA
RNAcentral lists this ribosomal RNA (325 nucleotides) under uncultured eukaryote. RNAcentral describes it as "partial 18S ribosomal RNA". It matches the Rfam family "Eukaryotic small subunit ribosomal RNA", at positions 1470 to 1796 of the family's 1831-position model. The record is from RNAcentral.